AGAGUUUGAUCCUGGCUCAGAACGAACGCUGGCGGCAGGCUUAACACAUGCAAGUCGAACGCAUCCUUCGGGGUGAGUGGCAGACGGGUGAGUAACGCGUGGGAACGUGCCCUUCAGUUCGGGAUAACCCAGGGAAACUUGGGCUAAUACCGGAUACGUGCGAGAGCAGAAAGAUUUAUCGCUGAAGGAUCGGCCCGCGUCUGAUUAGCUAGUUGGUGGGGUAAUGGCCCACCAAGGCGACGAUCAGUAGCUGGUCUGAGAGGAUGAUCAGCCACAUUGGGACUGAGACACGGCCCAAACUCCUACGGGAGGCAGCAGUGGGGAAUAUUGGACAAUGGGCGCAAGCCUGAUCCAGCCAUGCCGCGUGAGUGAUGAAGGCCUUAGGGCUUGUAAAGCUCUUUCGUCCCGGGACGAUAAUGACGGUACCGGAAGAAGAAGCCCCGGCUAACUACGUGCCAGCAGCCGCGGUA
Molecule: ribosomal RNA, 470 nt
Filed under: uncultured Pseudomonadota bacterium
Lineage: Bacteria; Pseudomonadati; Pseudomonadota
Description: bacterial SSU rRNA
Rfam family: Bacterial small subunit ribosomal RNA
Source: RNAcentral